Molecule: ribosomal RNA, 240 nt
Filed under: uncultured bacterium
Lineage: Bacteria
Description: partial 16S ribosomal RNA
Rfam family: Bacterial small subunit ribosomal RNA
Source: RNAcentral
GAUCCUGGCUCAGGGUGAACGCUAGCGACAGGCUUAACACAUGCAAGUCGAGGGGCAGCGGAGAGGUAGCAAUACCUUUGCCGGCGACCGGCGCACGGGUGAGUAACACGUAUGCAAUCCACCUGUAACAGGGGGAUAACCCGGAGAAAUCCGGACUAAUACCCCAUAAUAUGGGCGCUCCGCAUGGAGAGCCCAUUAAAGAGAGCAAUUUUGGUUACAGACGAGCAUGCGCUCCAUUAG